UGCGUAGGCGGCGGCAUAAGUCAGAAGUGAAAGUUGGCAGCUUAACUGCAAAAUUGCUUUUGAUACUGUGUUGCUUGAAUCACGUUGAGGCUGGCGGAAUGUGGCAUGUAGCGGUGAAAUGCUUAGAUAUGCCAUAGAACACCAAUUGCGAAGGCAGCUGGCUAGACGUGUAUUGACGCUGAGGCACGAAAGCGUGGGGAGCGAACAGGAUUAGAUACCCUGGUAGUC
Molecule: ribosomal RNA, 228 nt
Filed under: uncultured bacterium
Lineage: Bacteria
Description: partial 16S ribosomal RNA
Rfam family: Bacterial small subunit ribosomal RNA
Source: RNAcentral